Molecule: long non-coding RNA, 858 nt
Organism: Manis pentadactyla (Chinese pangolin)
Lineage: Eukaryota; Metazoa; Chordata; Mammalia; Pholidota; Manidae
Exons: 2
Source: RefSeq, a predicted model, not a curated record
AGGGAACCAGCGCCAUUCAAGGCUUUUCUCUCUGGCCCUGUGGAAAAGCUCCCGCGCUCUCCAGAAACUGCUGCCAUUGGCGGAGCCAGCUCGCAGGGUCAGCUCUUAUUGUUUAUUUCCUUUGUUUCAGUAACUUUUAGAGGAGUUUUUCCGAAGAAGGGAAUCAGAUCCAAUUAAAAGACGUAUGUACAUCAUGGCGUUUAACUUGAGAAAAAUUGGAAACGUUGGAACGGCAAUGAUUCAAUAAAGAAUUGUACGUCCUCGAGGAGAACAUCGUGUAGCUUUUUAAAAUUAUGUUUUAUAAGGAAUGUUAGUUUUAAAAAAGGCUGCAAAACGGCACAUGCACUGAGAUACCCAAAUUUUCUGUUUGUUUGAAUAUUUUUAAAGUGUUAAGCAAAUACUGUGAACUGAAGAAUGUCUGAUUGUCUCUGGGUGGUGAGAUUAUGGUGAUUGUUAAAUUCUUGUGUGCUUUCUGCAUUAUCUAGCUGUUCUACAAUUCUGUACUUCUAUAUCUCAGUUUUUAUAGUAAGGGGGAAACUAUCUUUAAUGAAUAAAAUAAUCCUCUUGUUGCAAAUCAAGACUCCUCAGCUGUAAAGAAGGUUGUGAUUCUAGAUGGAAGCAGUUCCUAUUAUUGGUCCUAACAGCAGAGAAGAAUUUAAACUCUCUAGGUAGGACUGGUCAACUUUAAAUCUCCUUCAAUAUCCAUAGAUUUUUGUGAGUCGAUUGUUUCAAGAAAGACCACCACUGAUACUUCGCAGAUUGUCCAUGACUAAAACUUAACAUUCCCUGAUCCACCCACUGUGAUUUCAGAGCAAUAAAUUUUUGUUGGUCUUAAUGGAUUCAGCACUUGCUAACAAC